AACUGGAUAGCCUAGUGGUCAAAGGCAGCACUUCUACCAAUGAUGAGGUCCCAGGUUCAAAUCCUGGUCUAGUCA
RNAcentral lists this transfer RNA (75 nucleotides) under Cronartium ribicola 11-2. Its description in RNAcentral is "tRNA-Gly (ACC) (tRNA-Gly-ACC-1-1)". It matches the Rfam family "tRNA". Rfam says of the family: Transfer RNA (tRNA) molecules are approximately 80 nucleotides in length. Their secondary structure includes four short double-helical elements and three loops (D, anti-codon, and T loops). The record is from RNAcentral. Lineage: Eukaryota; Fungi; Basidiomycota; Pucciniomycetes; Pucciniales; Coleosporiaceae.